UUUCCUACUUGUGUGGUCAGUAGGGAUCUAAUGCAUUUUAAUGAAAUCCUUUUUUUGGGAAAAUUUUGUGCAUAUUGUGUGACAUUCAACAAUUUGAGUGGUUUUUUUCCCUCCUCUUUUUGCUCUUACAAUUCUUCUUUAGUAUAUUGCUCUUGGAUGUAUAUGUUAUAUUACUUCUUAAAUUUGUCAGCAGUUCUUGUUGUUUACAUGGCAAUAUACGUACAUAUUGUCAUUUGGUGCAUCUAUUAAGGGUUAAAAUUGGGUAGACUAUCUUUUUCAGCUGUAUUGCACAUCUUGCAUCCUCCCUCCCCCUUUCCCGAUUUAAUAUUUUUGUGUUGGUAUGUUCAGUUUGGAUGUUUUAAAUGAGCUUUAGAUCUAGAAUAUUUCUGUUAAUUAAUGUUGAAAAGCUGUUGAUUAGUUAUCUCGAAAACCAUAAAAACC
Molecule: long non-coding RNA, 441 nt
Filed under: Actinidia chinensis (golden kiwifruit)
Lineage: Eukaryota; Viridiplantae; Streptophyta; Magnoliopsida; Ericales; Actinidiaceae
Description: long non-coding RNA (ACHI_LNC000953)
Source: RNAcentral